This is a non-coding RNA of Mycena galericulata, 94 nucleotides long. The record is from the annotation of a GenBank genome assembly. Lineage: Eukaryota; Fungi; Basidiomycota; Agaricomycetes; Agaricales; Mycenaceae.
GGCCUGGUGGUGUAGCGGUAACAUGCUCCUUCCAUAUGUUGUAAAGGUUGUUUAGUAUAAGGGGGAUACCCUCGUUCGAAUCGAGGCCAGGUCA